CGUGCGAACCAGGGGAGGAAGAAAGGGGAGCCAAAAACCCUAACUGCUAGAUAUCAAGAAUUUGAAGCCUAAACCACAAGAAAAUUCGAUGCAUGGGUCCUCUUUUUCGAAAAUCUAACCCUAACUAGUGAAGUGGAUCAUGUUUAGAAGGGAAAGCAUGGAAGGCAAACGGAAAAGGGAUGAGGAAGCAUGUACGAAACGGACACUCGAGGUAAGUGAUUCCGUAAUCACUUCUUAGUUUGUUUAAGUAGUGUAGCGUUUUAAUUAAUUAAACAUGAUGUUUAAUGUCAAAUAUGGAUUUAGUUGAAUGAAAUUGGUGAAUUUUUCUAAGUAGACCAAACGGGUCAAAAUGAGGUCUUAUGAUUAUAUCGAAAAGUUGUAUAAGAAAUGGCAACGGUAGUAUAAACGGUUAAUGGGUAGAAUUGCACAUAAGUACGCAAUCCGGGAAUCGGAGAUGUGGUUUAAUAGUCAAAAGACUCAGAUGUGAGUUGGUUUAAUAGAUAUACAUUUGCGCAAGUGGAGGUUUUAGUAACAAGUUUGAUACGUAGAUUUAAAUGGAAUGAAUGAAAUUAAUGAAUACCGGGUAUCGGUUGCGUAAACCCAAAGUACGAAACUCUAAAUAAUAUAAGAGUAUUAUGGAUAUAAUGUUCAUGUAUGUUUUGGGUUAAAACAAAGGAGUGGUUUGAUGAAAACAUAAACGGGUCAAAUAAUUAGAAAAUGAUUAUUAAGCUGAUAGCGUGUAAGUUAAGAAUUUCCUUGAUCCGGAUAUGGGAUUUUAAGUUCAUAUGAUAGAAUGUGAAUUUACAAGCAUAUAGGAAGAAACGUGAGGUUAAACGGUCAACCGGGUUAAAAGUUAUGCGAGUUUUAGUGGGCGUUUUGUAUCUGCACCCGGAGUAUGGAACGCCGGGUUUGGGAGUAUGGAACGCCGGGCAGAAACCCAAACGCCCAUGCUUCACUGUCAAACGCUGGUUCCAUGUUAAAGUGAACGUCGGGGUGAUCCAAACAAGCCUAGAUCACUUUCCUUGAGUUCCUUUGAUGUAUGUAAAGCUCCAUGUGAUAGGUUUAUGAUCCGGAAUCAUCACGCAAUCUUCCACCACUACCCUACAUGUAAAAAUGCAUCAAAGUAACAUGUCUCGAUACAAAUUCAAUGCUAAAACAUGUAAAUAUUAACCACUUAGGCGUACCAAAAGCAUAUGCAUCAGGUAUGUACGUAUGUAUGUAUGUAUAUAUAUGAUUGUAUGUAGAUAUGUAGGUGCGUAUGAUCAGACGUAUGAAUAUAUGAAUGCACGAAGUAGGAUUUAUCGCCUAUGAAAAGAAUGGGACAGGUAUGCAUGUAUACAUGGUUUCAAUACGUAUGAGUAUGGACGUUACUAAUGAUGUGCUUGAGAUUGGAAUGUAAUGCAGGAAUGAGAACGUCGGAUUCUUGUAGAAUUGAAGCCGAACCUUGAAGCCGAACUCGGAACAAAGGAAUCCGAGAGGAUAGUCGAAUGAAUCAAAGUUUAUGUUGUCGAAUGUUAUAUGAUUUUUAAUUUGUAUCAGAUUAUUGUUGUAUGACGUUGUCAAUGACUAAUGGUUAAGUUGUAUGUGGGUGUCCACAGGUACUACACGGAUCUCUUCUACCACUAUCGAAGAUAAGCGGGCAUAGAUCGAGUCGAAUAACAAGGGUUGUACGGAAAGAACAGUUACGUAGUCUUAAUUUUGUAACGCAUUAAUUUGUAAAAAGGGAAGUGAAUUUUGUAAGCUUCUUCUUGAAUGUGUGUAUUGUUAUAAGAUCGUAAAGAAAUUUUUAAAGCUAUUUUUUUCGCUGCGUUAUCCUUAAGUUCUUACACGACGAUCUUACAGGGAAUUGUUCUUAUUACGAGCGGGUCAUGCCCGAAUUUUUCUUGAAUAAUAGUAUGGUAAUAUUACUUUUCAGACUAAGAUAUAUGGGCGUUACAAGUUGGUAUCAGAGCCCAGGUUUGAGAGAAUCAAGUAACGGGAGGUAAAUACUUGAACUCAAACCGGUGUGCUCUCGUGACCAAGAGCCCGUACAAUCCAAGACUCGAUCGAGGCCUAAAGGCAAAAGCGAAUGUAAGUAAGUAUUUGAUUAUGUAAUUGAAGGAAACUAAUAGUAUGUUAUGUGAAGGGUAAGCGCAAUUGUUGGGAGAGAUGAACUGUGAAUACGUCUGGGACCGGCAUCAAGGCAAGUAAUGAGGCGAAUUGACCCCAGGUACGUAAAUCUAAUGUGUGGACGUAUGAAAUGGUACAGUUAACUAAGUGAAAGAAAAAUUUUAAACAAAUUAUAAUAACGACAUGGUAAGUAAGUUUUGAAAAUGUCACACAUGCCGAAACUAAAUCCUUCGGACAUAAGGUGGCGAUUACGCGAAGACACGAAACUAGUACGUGGAAGGUGUACCUGGCCAGUACACAAGAAACGUAUGACGUUCGUGAGACCGUGAUAAUUGUUACAGGUAUGUCCGAUAGAAUUUGGUAGCGGCUAGGUGUGUGGGUGAAAUGGGUAGUAAGACUCUUGGGAGGUUGAGAGUACUAUGUAAGGGUGAAAGGUAUAAGUGAUAAGAACGAAAUACUGAGCCCAUAAGAAAGUAUGGAUUGACAAUGUAUGAAUGCAAUGUUUGAAUCCGCGAGACGGAUUCAACGAAUGAAAGAUAUGAAUGCAAUGCUUGAGUCCGCGAGACGGAUUCAAGGAUGAAAGAUAUGAAUGCAAUGCUUGAAUCCGCGAAACGGAUUUAAAGAAUGAAAGAUACAAAUGAUGCAAAUCCAUUGCGGAUUUGGUUAUGCUAAAGAAGGUUAUGAUAAGCUAUACAAGUCGACCGGUUCAAGUUGAACAAGUCGAGUAAGGACAGGGUACCAUCCGUUUAGAACGGGUGGUCGUGAAUGCAAUAAUAAAUGUAUGAAGCUCAACCCGUUAUACGGACAGAACGAAAUAUUUAUGUUGAACACAAUUAACUCGAUGUUACCGAGUCGUAAGUGGUACGCUUGAAUCUCAUUAUGAGAAUAUAUGCCAUUACCCAUUUAAUUGGAUACUCGAAUGCGUAAAAGAAAUGAAAGUAUAUAAGCGAAUGGAACUAAAAUGUUGGUAUUGUAAGCGAAAUAAGUAUUAUGACUAACCUUUAAAACGGGAAGGGUAAGUGUUGGCAAGAAAACACUGGAACAGUGAAGCUAUGAGGUCGUAAGCAUGUUUGAAUUGAGAAAAAAAAAGAGUACAAAUGUGUACUUCGAUACGCAUGUAUAUAAUAAGAAAUAAGUGGCAGUUGACCUUGAAAAGUCAAACUGCAGAAGCUGAGAAAUAAUUUGGUUUUAAACCAAGGGAGUGCUAGAGAAGAAAGGAAAUGUGUAGUGUAGUACACCAAAUGAGUUAAAUAAUUACGAAAUAAUGAUUAUGUGUUUACCCAUCAAGAACGGGUCAAACAAUGAGAAUGAUAUAUAUAUUAAGAAAUGGUCAUGUAUUGACCCGUUAUGAAUAGGUUUAACACACUAGUGCUUUAAAAAGAAUCUUGGAAGUAGUAAUAUGUAAACAAGGAGAAGUAAUAAACAUCAUGUUUAAAUGAACUUGAAUGAAAUGUGAUAAUCCCCAAUCUUAUAAUGAGUAUGGCAGAUAUCAUAGUGUGAUAAACCUAUCAAGGUCAGUGAAAGAAUGUUCAUAAGCGAAAGCUCGUCACACGGAUGAACGAGGUCAAUACGAAACAUGGUAUGGAUGGUGACGAAGAGGACCGACUCGUUGCUGCAUGUUCAAGUACGGCACCAAGGUAGUAAGGAUCAUGUUUAGAAGGGAAAGCAUGGAAGGCAAACGGAAAAGGGAUGAGGAAGCAUGUACGAAACGGACACGCGAGGUAAGUGAUUCCAUAAUCACUUCUUAGUUUGUUUAAGUAGUGUAGCGUUUUAAUUAAUUAAACAUGAUGUUUAAUGUCAAAUAUGGAUUUAGUUUAAUGAAAUUGGUGAAUUUUUCUAAGUAGACCAAACGGGUCAAAAUGGGGUCUUAUGAUUAUAUCGAAGAGUUGUAUAAGAAGUGGCUACGGUAGUAUAAACGAUUAAUGGGUAGAAUUGCACAUAAGUACGCAAUCCGGGAAUCGGAGAUGUGGUUUAAUAGUCAAAAGACUCAGAUGUGAGUUGGUUUAAUAGAUAUACAUUUGCGCAAGUGGAGGUAUUAGUAACAAGUUUGAUACGUAGAUUUAAAUGGAAUGAAUGAAAUUAAUGAAUACCGGGUAUCGGUUGCGUAAACCCCAAGUACGAAACUCUAAAUAAUAUAAGAGUAUUAUGGAUAUAAUGUUCAUGUACGUUUUGGAUUAAAACAAAGGAGUGGUUUGAUGAAAAUAUAAACGGGUCAAAUAAUUAGAAAAUGUUUAUUAAGCCGAUAGCAUGUAAGUUAAGAAUUUCCUUAAUCCGGAUAUGGGAUUUUAAGUUCAUAUGAUAGAAUGUGAAUUUACAAGCAUAUAGGAAGAAACGUGAGGUUAAACGGUCAACUGGGUUAAAAGUUAUGCGAGUUUUAGUGGGCGUUUUGUAUCUGCACCCGGAGUAUGGAACGCCGGGUUUGGGAGUAUGGAACGCCGGGCAGAAACCCAAACGCCCAUGCUUCACUGUCAAACGCUGGUUCCAUGUUAAAGUGAACGUCGGGGUGUUCCAAACAAGCCUAGGUCACUUUCCUUGAGUUCCUUUGAUGUAUGUAAAGCUCCAUGUGAUAGGUUUAUGAUCCGGAAUCAUCACCCAAUCUUCCACCACUACCCUACAUGUAAAAAUGCAUCAAAGUAACAUGUCUCGAUACAAAUUCGAUGCUAAAAAAUGUAAAUAUUAACCACUUAGGCGUGCCAAAAGCAUAUGCAUCAGGUAUAUACGUAUGUAUGUAUGUAUGUAUGUAUGUAUAUAUAUGAUUGUAUGUAGAUAUGUAGGUGCGUAUGAUCAGAUGUAUGAAUAUAUGAAUGCACGAAGUAGGAUUUAUCGCCUAUGAAAAGAAUGGGACAGGUAUGCAUGUAUACAUGGUUUCAAUACGUAUGAGUAUGGACGUUACUAAUGCUGUGCUUGAGAUUGGAAUGUAAUGCAGGAAUGAGAACGUCGGAUUCUUGUAGAAUUGAAGCCGAACCUUGAAGCCAAACUCAGAACAAAGGAAUCCGAGAGGAUAGUCGAAUGAAUCAAAGUUUAUGUUGUCGAAUGUUAUAUGAUUUUUAAUUUGUAUCAGAUUAUUGUUGUAUGACGUUGUCAAUGACUAAUGGUUAAGUUGUAUGUGGUGUCCACAGGUACUACACGGAUCUCUUCUACCACUAUCGAAGAUAAGCGGGCAUAGAUCGAGUCGAAUAACAAGGGUUGUACGGAAAGAACGGUUACGUAGUCUUAUUUUUGUAACGCAUUAAUUUGUAAAAAGGGAAGUGAAUUUUGUAAGCUUCUUCUUGAAUGUGUGUAUUGUUAUAAGACCGUAAAGAAAUUUUUAAAGCUA
This is a long non-coding RNA of Helianthus annuus (common sunflower), 5425 nucleotides long. RefSeq lists it as uncharacterized. NCBI's taxonomy places the organism in Eukaryota, Viridiplantae, Streptophyta, Magnoliopsida, Asterales, Asteraceae. The record is from RefSeq and is a predicted model, not a curated record. The transcript has 3 exons.